CCUACGGGUGGCAGCAGUGGGGAAUAUUGCACAAUGGGCGCAAGCCUGAUGCAGCCAUGCCGCGUGUGUGAAGAAGGCCUUCGGGUUGUAAAGCACUUUCAGCGGGGAGGAAGGCGGUGAGGUUAAUAACCUCAUCGAUUGACGUUACCCGCAGAAGAAGCACCGGCUAACUCCGUGCCAGCAGCCGCGGUAAUACGGAGGGUGCAAGCGUUAAUCGGAAUUACUGGGCGUAAAGCGCACGCAGGCGUCUGUCAAGUCGGAUGUGAAAUCCCCGGGCUCAACCUGGGAACUGCAUUCGAAACUGGCAGGCUAGAGUCUUGUAGAGGGGGGUAGAAUUCCAGGUGUAGCGGUGAAAUGCGUAGAGAUCUGGAGGAAUACCGGUGGCGAAGGCGGCCCCCUGGACAAAGACUGACGCUCAGGUGCGAAAGCGUGGGGAGCAAACAGGAUUAGAUACCCCUGUAGUC
RNAcentral lists this ribosomal RNA (464 nucleotides) under uncultured Klebsiella sp. RNAcentral's name for it is "bacterial SSU rRNA". It matches the Rfam family "Bacterial small subunit ribosomal RNA", at positions 338 to 795 of the family's 1533-position model. The record is from RNAcentral. Lineage: Bacteria; Pseudomonadati; Pseudomonadota; Gammaproteobacteria; Enterobacterales; Enterobacteriaceae.